This 390-nucleotide ribosomal RNA is filed under the name uncultured organism. RNAcentral's name for it is "bacterial SSU rRNA". It matches the Rfam family "Bacterial small subunit ribosomal RNA", at positions 45 to 433 of the family's 1533-position model. The record is from RNAcentral.
UGCUUUACACAUGCAAAGUCGAACGGGUAACAGGUUUUCGGAUGCUGACGAGGUGGCGAACGGGGUGAGUAAUAUAUCGGGAACGUGCCCAGUAGUGGGGGAUAACCCGGCGAAAGCCGGAUUAAUACCCGCAUACGACCUACGGAUGAAAGGGGGGGAUCGCAAGACCUCUCGCGAUUGGAGCGGCCGAUAUCAGAUUAGGUAGUUGGUGGGGUAAAGGCCUACCAAGCCUGCGAUCCGUAGUUGGUCUGAGAGGACGACCAGCCACACUGGAACUGAGACACGGCCCAGACUCCUACGGGAGGCAGCAGUGGGGAAUUUUGGACAAUGGGCGCAAGCCUGAUCCAGCCAUGCCGCGUGCAGGAAGAAGGCCCUCGGGUUGUAAACUGC